CCAAUAGCGUAUAUUAAAGUUGCUGCAGUUAAAAAGCUCGUAGUUGAAUUUCGGAACCAAUAUGUUGGUUGUGCCUCGGUACGAACUGGCAUUGUUGGUUUCUCCCUUCUGACGAACUAUGAUGUCAUUAAUUUGGUGUCAUGGGGAAUCAGGACUGUUACUUUGAAAAAAUUAGAGUGUUUAAAGCAGGCUCACGCUUGAAUACAUUAGCAUGGAAUAAUGAAAUAGGACGUUUGAUUCUAUUUUGUUGGUUUCUAGGAUCGACGUAAUGAUUAAUAGGGAUAGUUGGGGGCAUUAGUAUUCAAUUGUCAGAGGUGAAAUUCUUGGAUUUAUUGAAGACUAACUACUGCGAAAGCAUUUGCCAAGGAUGUUUUCAUUAAUCAAGAACGAAAGUUAGGGGAUCGAAGACGAUCAGAUACCGUCGUAGUCUUAACCAUAAACUAUGCCGACUAGGGAUCGGAUGAUGUUAAUUUUUUAAUGACUCAUUCGGCGCCUUACG
This 499-nucleotide ribosomal RNA is filed under the name uncultured Glomeromycotina. RNAcentral describes it as "partial small subunit ribosomal RNA". It matches the Rfam family "Eukaryotic small subunit ribosomal RNA", at positions 591 to 1092 of the family's 1831-position model. Lineage: Eukaryota; Fungi; Glomeromycota. The record is from RNAcentral.